Molecule: long non-coding RNA, 6829 nt
Filed under: Salvia miltiorrhiza (redroot sage)
Lineage: Eukaryota; Viridiplantae; Streptophyta; Magnoliopsida; Lamiales; Lamiaceae
Description: long non-coding RNA (SMIL_LNC005548)
Source: RNAcentral
CCACCAACUCCCCUAAUUUCAGCCCUCAAACAUCUUUGCAUAGUUGAAGGAAACUCAUGCCUUGCACUUUCCUAGCAACUCAAAUUUAUUUGAUCUCAAAUAUCCUUCAAAUUACUCUCUCGUUCCAGCCUAUCCAUGGACUUUCAAGUAUACAAUAAGAGACCACCAUUCAAAGAACUCUUCCUCAACACACCAUUAUCACAAGGUUUCAUUUUCUUCUUCUUUAAACUACAUGACUUGUUUUUACAAUAUUGAAUGAGACACCUCCAUUACUUUCACAAACACAAAUCACAGCUAGCCAACAAAGAAUCACACCAAUACAUACCUUCACUGAAAUUCAUCUAAAACAACUUUUAUACGAAAAUACAUAUUUAUUCAUAAUCUGUGCAUAUACUUAUAAAUGAAAGCAUGAUUCAUUGAAAAAGAAACGAAAAGAUCUUUAUAAAUGAAGAGUUUUGAAGCCUGUUGAAAAAUGGAGUCUUGAUCUUGAUUUAGCUUGCCUUCAAGUCUGAGGUGUCGAGUUUGUUGGUAGUCUUGCUGAUGAAUCGAGUCAGGGGAGAGUGGAUUGACGGCGGCAGCCACGGCUGCCCCCUGGUCGCCGGAAUUCAAGAGAGAGAACAUGGGUUGGGGCGGUGGCUGGUCUGGGCUGGGUAUUUGUUGAGGUCAGGACGGCGGCAGCCAUGGGUCGCUGUCGCUGGGAUUUUUGAGAGGGAAGCGACUGUUGCGGCUUUGCUGAAAUCGCCGGAAACCAGGGGGAGGCAAUGGAACUCUUCGCCGUUGAAGGAGAGAGGUUCCCGGAGUUUAGUGAGAGAGGAAGAGUUUAGAGGUCGGUGCGUUGUUUGAGUCAGGGAGGCGAGAGGCUUGAGGGGCUCCUCGCCGGAAAUUUCAGGCGGCAGCCUUAGGCGGUGGUAGAUUUGGGGAUCUAGGGGUUUAUGGGAAGAGAGAGACGGCGCCGCCGCUCACAGGUGGGCGGUGGUGACCGAGGUAAAGGAGAGAGGAAGAUGAUGUGGUGAGUCGGGCAGGAGAUGACGGGCGGCGGCUGGUUCGCUGCUUCGCCGGAGAAGAGAGGGAGCCGGGCGGAUCUGUGUGAGCCGAGAGAGAGUUGAGCGGGUUUCAUUUUGAGAGUGAAGAGGGAGAGAACGAAUUCAGUGAGGAAGAAAAGGGUUAGAAGUCAUGGGCUGAGUUUGGGCCUUAACUGAUGGACUUUAUUUUCGUUUUAUUUAAAUUUAGUUGGGCCUUUAUUUUAUUUAAGGAUUUUGGGGUGCAGUUUUGAUUUAAAGGAUUUCGCUCUUAAUUAUUUUAUUUGAUUGGGCUGCAUGUUAUUUAAUUAAAGAAAUGUCUUUAAUUAGUUUAGUAAUUAGACUUUGUAAUUGGUUUAAUUAAUUCAUUAUUAUUUUAAUUAUGAUUUCAUAAUAAUAAUAAUAUAAUUAUUAUGUGUAUAUAUUAAGUGUAAUUACUCAUUACAUGAGUUAAGCAUGAAAUGAAUUUGCAUAUGCAUUUUACAAAGCAUUUAUGAUUUAAAAUUGGCUUUUAUUAAAUCCAAUUAUUAAAGAAAAAAUCGAGUAAAGAUAUUGUUGGUGUCCUUGACUCAAGGAAUUAGAUUACAAUUAUUUAUUUAUUAAAUUUGAAAAUCCGGCGUGAUGAAUCAUAAAAUGUUAAGCACUAAACUAAGACUUAAGAUUAGAUUGAGGAGACAUAUUAAGAAUAGAAUUUCUUGUAGGUUUUGUGGACCAAGGGAUUAGCGGUGCUUUUCCAAGAAAAGUUUAUGUGAUUAUGAUCUUCAGGCUUGCCUAUCCAGGUGGGCUUACUUUCCAAACGUAUAAAGUAUGAUUGAGUUAUUAAGCUUUAAAUGUUUCAAUGAAAUGCAAAUUAUUUAUUCAAUGAAAUGUAAACUGUUUAUCCAAUAAAAUGUUUAUGUACACUCUGCUCUGUUUAAUGCUCGCCACAACGAAUCAAUUGAGGUUCUCUUAUGGCCUAACACGUUAUUUGAGAAUUGUGUACACUCGUUAGCUGACUUGAUGAGUUGAUCUCCAUCGGGCACUAACUAAGAGGUGUUAUAAGGGUGCUUGCUGGAUGUGUUCCGGAGCAUGUAAUGUAAGGCCUGCCUGGGUAGUGUCCCGAGGUCAAAUGAAACUUGUCUGGGUUACGCCCUCAGUUCAAGUAAAUGGGAGAAAUGGAUCCGACAGUGGCUAAAAAGGUCCGAGAUCACAGCGAGUAAUAGAAAGGGAGUGUGACAUGUGCGCACAAAUGAAAGAAAUUAUUUUAGCAUGCUUAGAAGUUCUUUCAAUUUAAAACUUUCUAAGUCAUGUCAAGUAUGAUUGGAUAAACUGUCUUUACGAAAAUAUGAAAUGUUUCAAAAAAUGCAUGCCCACUGAGUACAUUAGUACUUAGCCCAAAAAUACUUUCAAAUGUUUUCAGGUUGGCUAGCCAGUACUGACGGGACUGAGCUGAGGCUAGGGAUCCGUUGUAGCAGUAGAUAAUAUCUUGUCUUUUAUUUUCUCAACUUAAGACUUUUAUGUUAGAUUUAGAAUAACAUCUUUGAUCGAGUUUAAACACUUAACUUCAAAUUUUAUGCGAAUGAAUACUGGUUAUCAGAAGCAUGAAACAAAACUUGUGAUCUAAAGGGGCCUAGCCCGACUUGUUAUUUUAUUAUUCGGGUUUCAACAAGGAUUUUGCCUUGUGUUAUUUCUAUGAAUUGGUUGCACCUUGAUUGUAUUUAUUUCUUUAAGAAUUGGGGUGUUACAAAUUGCUUUUAUUUAUAUUAGAAAAAUGACAUAAUUAUAUUUUUUCCCCUUAAUUAAAUGAACCAAAUAUUUUUGGUUCAGUUUGGUAUUCAAUUCAAAUUUUUGAUAUUCAAAUACGAAAUUUUGUGAUUAACUCAAAUACAAAUAUGAAUAUUUUGUUUGAUUUGAUUAGUUAUCAAAUAUGAUUCAAAAAUCAUAAUGCUCGAUUAAGUAUUUAAAAAUAAAGAAUAAAAUAGAUAUAAAUUAAAAUAAACUAAAAAUUAAUAUUUACUUAAAUAAAUAUUAAUAUUAAUCAAAGCAUUAAAAACAUUGAUUUCAAAUUCAAUUCAUACGAAAGUAUUUCAUAUUUUGAGUUAAAUAGUAAGAAGUCAAAUGAAAUACUAGGAAGUACUAUUUUGAUUUAUAUUGUUUAAAAUAUACUUGUAAAAAAUUGAAGCGGAUAUUUGAUUCGAUUCGAAUAUUCGCGAAUCAGUGUACGAAUCGAAUAUGAAUAGCAAAUAAAAUUUGAAAGAUAUUCGAGUAACCAUUGGAAUACGCAAUUAUUUUUACGAAUGUGAAUCGAAUUCAAUAAUAUUCGCUUCAAUUCGAUGUGUUUACUUUACAUUUGUAGAAUUAGCUUAUUCUAAAAUUAUAGUUAUAGUCUACAUAUAUAGUAUAACUAUAUAGCUCACACUUAUUUAGUUAUAUAUUAUAAUUGACUAUAUAUUGAUAUUCUAGUUUCAUCAAUAACCUAGUAGAUCUUGUAAUUAUUGUUUGAGUUUUAUAUUUACUCAAUUUAUUUACUUUUCAAAAUUUACUUAUGACUUAUUAUUAUCUAUUAUUUAAUUUUUUAUAUAACAUGAAUGUAACUUAUUCUAGAGAUAUAGUAAUUUUAGAAUUAAAUUAUAGUAUGUAGACAUAUAAAUAUAGAUAUAUAUGUAGCUCAUACUUGUAUAGUUAUAUAAUAUACUUGUAUAUUUUUCAAAGUCCUUUAGUUAAAUAACAUAGAUGCAAUUUAUUUUAUAUUUAUUCAAUUUAUUUACAUGUUUUUAAUUAUUAAUAAAUAUAUAUUUUAUAAGUUGUCAUUAAUUUGUUAGUAAUUAUGAAUUUUUUUAAAUAAUUUACCACUAAUGAGAGAAAGCCAAAGAGGAAGAAGGAUUAUGUGAGGAAGAAAAAAAAUGGUUGACUAACGGUGGGAUAACGCCGUUUGGUCAGACGGCCUUAAUUGAGUUGUUUUUUGAGUUCGGGGGUUUAGUUGCACACACAGUGAUUAAGAGGGGCUAUACGCUAUAAGGGCUACCACUUGAAGGGUGGAUCUGCACCUUUUCCCUUUAAAUAUUAUAAGUUAUGCUUGGAGGCUAAGCAAAUGACGUAAAUAAAAUAAAUUAUUUCUCUUUGUCUCCCCAAAUGUACCGUCCCCUCUCACCCUCUUUCUCUCUCAAUUUUCUUCAUCAUCCUCCAUUGAUGAUCAUAUACAAAGCUUCAUAGAUUAUUUCUAUACCAUAAGCUUCCAUUAAAACGAGCUCUAAACAUCUAUACACUUCAAAUCAAGAGCAACUAUGGAAGGUUUUUAAAGCUUGAAGUCAAGAGGAGGAUUUUAUUUUUCUACUCAAGAAUCAUUGAGUAAGUGUUAGAUUUAUUUAAAUCUAAUCAUAUUUGAGUUAUAUAAGCAUGUAUAUGGAUGAAAAUAGCAUGAAAACCCACUUAUUUCUCUUUUCAUUUUUUCGAAAAUUAGGGUUCAUACCCUUCAAAACAAUUUCAUCAUCUAAUCUUAAAUUGAGAUUAUAUUCAUGCUAUUGAGAUCCUAUUUAGUCCAUUUCUACAUGUAAAGAAUGGAUUUAGAUUGAUAUGUGAAUUUUUGGAUGAGUUAGUUUAUAUGAUAUUGAGAAGUUUGGAGUUCAUGGAGUGAGUGAUGAUUUGAUUAUGAUUAUGAGUUUAUGAUAUUUGAUGGAUUAGAAUAAUGAUUAAAGGUGUUUGAUGAGGAUUGAAGUGAGUUAGUUUGAUAAAAAAAAAUAGGGUAUAGUUGGUUAUAUGCUUAAGUUGGCAAAUUGAUGAGUUAUUUUGGCAAACAUGGAAAAAGCUACUGACUUGAUGAAUUUCGACAGGGUUUUUGAUACCCAAAAAUCUUGAAAAUUUUAUGGUGAGUAUAUAAAAGUGUUAUGAACGUAAUUGUAGAAUUUCAAGUUAUUUGGACAUUGUUUACUAUCCUUUUAAAAUGCAAAACACCAACUGCAACUUUCUACCAAAAAUUUUAAAGAACAGACCUUAGAGUCACCCUUCUCAGUAGCAUCCCCUGAUGUUUUUCCUUCCCAAUUUUUAUGGUAAAGAGAUUAAUGUGUUAUCUAGCUGCCCACAAAAUUUGAAGUCAUUUCGGCAAUGUUUACUAGUAUUUUUCAAAAAUCAAAUCCUCCAGUUGCACAAAACUGCCGAAUAUGGUAGAUUGUGGGAGAACGGUCAUAUCUCUUAUACAACUUAGAGUUUUUCAACCUACUUUUUUUUAAGUGAAAUUAAACUCAAAGAGGUUUCUAAUAGUAUGAGUCUCGAACUCAGGAGAGUUCUGAGGAGAAAUAAUUUAUUCUCUUAAGUUAAGGUAGUGCAGAAAGAGUGAAUUGAAUAAGAUUUUGAUUAUGAGAUGAGAUAUGAAUUAAAGAUGCCUAUAUGUGGCUUAGUGAAGAUGAAUUGAGCUUAUAUAUGAAAAACGAAAUAAAAUGUAUAACUUGUUUAUGUGAAUUAAUUUUUGAAUAAUUGGUUUAAGAAUGAUUUAUAAAAUAAAUUUUUGGGAAUUUUCUCCGACUAAAAAUAUUUUACUUUUUUUUCAAAAAUGAGUUUGUGUAUGUGAUUGCUAUGUGCUUUUGGAUUGUUUAUCUAUGAGUUGUACCUUGACAGAGUUUAGACCUAAAUUAGGUGAUAAGUCGAGAAUAGAAUAGUGAUUACGUAGAAAGAGUUUUUAUAUGAGAUCGAGAUAGACGGAGUGUAGUGAUGAGGAGAUGAAAUAGUACUAAGAUAGGAAUGGUAUUCUUAGUUAGGAAGUUCUGACUAAUCUCUUUUAUUCUUUUCAUGAACUACUCCGAUGUGACGGUAUCUGAAGAUGUGAGCAGAGGACGGAAGUGAGUCCACCCCGAGUGCUACGAGAGUAAGCUAAAGCCAUCAGGCGGCCAUUAUUUUUACUACGUAUAUAGAGAUCCCCUGAGCAUCGUAGGCCUCUUAUACGAAAUGAAGUAAAUGAUAUGAUUUAACUGUAAAUUUCAGUUUGAUGAAAAUUAUUAAUGAUGAUGAAGUUUAUGAGUUUGAUAAAUGAUUUGAGAUUAAAUGAUGAUUCAAACUAACUGCCUUGCCAAUUUUUGAUGAUGAUGAGCCUGUAUGUCACCCUCUACUGAUGAGACGAAUUCGGGUCUGCCACAAGCGGGAUUGUGUACACAGAGGUGACUGUGAGCUUUCCUCGGGUCAGCCGGUCAAAAGUGACUAUGAGCCGUCAAUCGAGUCGGCCGGUCACGGUGCUUGAGAAGGAGGCUUACUUCUCAGUACCUUUGAUAACGAUGAGUUGUAGAUGUGGUACAUACAUGAUGAGUAUUUUGAUAGCGCUAUCAUUUAUUUAUGAUGUUUAUGAUUGUUAACUGCUUACACGGGUUCUUUUGAGUAAAAUCCCCAUAUAUUGCUUAUGUGGCAAGUUCAAUCUAUAGCUCUAAGAGCGAGUUUCAUUGAUUUUUCGGUCAUAUGUCCACUGAGUAUUCUGUACUCAGCCCUGCAUGUAUUUCUAAACGUGCAGGAUAAGCGAGGAGGGAGAUUGGACUGGUGCUGGCAGGGAUUUUGUUUCGGAUGAUCUUCCUUAUGUCGUGAUUGUAUUCCUUGCGGUAACAUCAAGAUGUUGAGGUUUAUUUUGGACUUAAUCAAGAAAUUUACUCUCGACUAUAUGUCUUCAUACAUAUAGUCUGUUCGCAUUUUGCUGCGAUACUAUGUAUAUCCCGAGUCUUUGUGAGUAAUUAGCUAUGUCUGCUUUGUAAAGGUUGACAAGAAUCUCGAUGAUUUAAAAGUUAUAAAGCUAAUAAUUUCUACACUGAUGAUGAUGUCAUCUUUCUUGACUUAUCACGUUUCAGUGAUUGCUUCCG